This 793-nucleotide ribosomal RNA is filed under the name uncultured Gammaproteobacteria bacterium. Its description in RNAcentral is "bacterial SSU rRNA". It matches the Rfam family "Bacterial small subunit ribosomal RNA", at positions 56 to 885 of the family's 1533-position model. The record is from RNAcentral. Lineage: Bacteria; Pseudomonadati; Pseudomonadota; Gammaproteobacteria.
UGCAAGUCGAACGUGAAAGCACUUCGGUGUGAGUAGAGUGGCGGACGGGUGAGUAACGCGUGGGGAUCUACCCAGUAGUGGGGGACAACUACCGGAAACGGUAGCUAAUACCGCAUACGCCCUAUGGGGGAAAGGCUUCGGCCGCUAUUGGAUGAGCCCGCGUCAGAUUAGCUAGUUGGUAGGGUAAAGGCCUACCAAGGCAACGAUCUGUAGCUGGUCUGAGAGGACGAACAGCCACACUGGGACUGAGACACGGCCCAGACUCCUACGGGAGGCAGCAGUGGGGAAUAUUGGACAAUGGGCGAAAGCCUGAUCCAGCAAUGCCGCGUGUGUGAAGAAGGCCUGCGGGUUGUAAAGCACUUUCAGUUGGGAAGAUGAUGACGUUACCAACAGAAGAAGCACCGGCUAAAUCCGUGCCAGCAGCCGCGGUAAUACGGAUGGUGCGAGCGUUAAUCGGAAUUACUGGGCGUAAAGCGCGCGUAGGCGGCUAAGUCAGUCAGAAGUGAAAGCCCCGGGCUCAACCUGGGAACUGCAUUUCGAACUGGCAAGCUAGAGUGUGAUAGAGGGUGGUAGAAUUUCAGGUGUAGCGGUGAAAUGCGUAGAGAUCUGAAGGAAUACCGAUGGCGAAGGCAGCCACCUGGGUCAACACUGACGCUCAUGUACGAAAGCGUGGGGAGCAAACAGGAUUAGAUACCCUGGUAGUCCACGCCGUAAACGAUGUCUACUAGAAGCUCGGUUCCUCGGAACUGUUUUUCAAAGCUAACGCAUUAAGUAGACCGCCUGGGGAGUACGG